GCUGGAGUGCAGUGGCGAGAUCUCGGCUCACUGCAGCCUCAACCUCCCAAGGCUCAAACGAUCCUCUCGCCUCAGCCUUCUGAGUAGCUGGGAUCACAGAGGGGACGUGGCUGGUGGCUGGAGAAGCUGGAUUUGCCCUUUGAUGGUGGCCCUCUUGAUCCCCGGCUUGCUGAAGUCAAAGGAGAGGCUGUCGAUGCUGAGGCACGAGAGAAUUUGCUCCUGCUCCUCCAGAGAAAAUGGCUGGGACAGGCUGUUGAGGAAUAAUUCUGCAGGGAAAAGUGGAAGAUGGCUGUGAAAGACUGGGAGGAGGCUGGCUGUGUUUUCAGGGGUUCUUCCUGCACAGUCGGUAGAAGCUGAGCUGCUGGGGAAGGGGCUGGAAGAAAGCCCACACCGCAGGUAUCAGUAGCAAAUUCAAAAACUACAGAAUCAGCUCCAGAGGACUUUGUUAACAAGAAAGAGAAGAUUGAAAACAGCCCUGGGGCUACACCAACUCAAGAGCUCCCAGGCAAAGUGGCAUCCUGGACCCACCAUCUCUCCUACCCCAUCCUCAGUCGGUACUUCCCCAGGCACCGUUUGUUCUGGCAUGGGGCUAGUUCAGCCCUGGGACCACCCUCAUCCUUAUAACUACCAGCUGUCUUUGGUGAGGUGCAAGAUCUCUCUGGUUUUCUUUAUUUCAUUUUCAUUCCUAUAAUCACAGCCUUUUUUGUGCCCAUCCCUCAGGUGACAUUCUAUUAUGUUUGAUGUGUCAUUUUUGAUUUGGUUGUGUCCUUGCAAAAUGUGCGUUGUUUUAUUUAUCAAUUUAUUUUUAUUUUUAUUUUUUUAAAGAGAUGAGGUCUCAUCAUGUUGCCCAGGCUGGACUCCAACUCCUGGGCUCAAGCGAUCCUUCCACCUCAAUCUUCUGAGUGGCUGGGACUACAGAUGUGCGCCACCAUACCUGGCUAUUGAUCAAUUUUUAGUUUACCAAACAGGCAUUAUGUUCUGGGUCCCAUUCUGUGUCGGGUUCUCUUUUCACUCGGCACCAUGGCUUUAGGAUCCAUCCAUGCUGCUCUGUGAACGCCGAGUUGCUUUAACUGCUUGGUGCUCCAUGAGGCAUCCCCUUUUGUGUCUCUGUCCUCCCAGUGAGGGACCCCAUCGUACCCUACUCCCCUCCCACAAAGGAAGCUGUAGUGCGCGUCCUCAGGCGUGUCCCCAUAUGGAUCUGCUGGCAUUCGUUUGUCAGUGCACCCAGGGGUAGAAGUCCUUGGUCUCAGUCUGCAGACGUCUGCCUGAGUGCAGCCAGGUGCCCCCCCAGAGUGGGUAGCCUUGUCCACAUGCCCAUCAGCAGCACCUGAGGGGUCCCAACAGCCCUACAUCCCACCAACUUUCUGCUUUUUUCCAGUCAAAUGGCUCUUGAGUGUUACCUGGCUUUAUUUAUUUAUUUAUUUUUUGAGUCGGGUCUCUGUUGCGCAGGCUGGAGUGCAGUGGUGCAAUCAUGGCUCACUGCAGCCUCGACCUUCCAGGCUCAAACAAUCCUCUCACCUCCUGAGUAGCUAGGACUACACGCAUGUGCCACCAUGCCUGGCUAAUUUUUAAAUUUUUUUGCAGAGAAAGGGUCUUGCUAUGUUGCCCAGGCUGAUCUUGAACUCCUGGCCUCAAGCGAUCCUCCUGCCCCAGCCUCCCAAAGUGCUGGGAUUACAGGUGUGAGCCACUGCUCCCGGCCUGUCUUUAUUUUGUAUUCUUGGAUUCCUAGUGAGUUUGAGCCCCCUCUAUACAUCAUAACCCUUAUGAUACUAGUAAACAUAUAUUUUAUCUUUAACCCCAUUUCUGGCACAGAACUCCUAAAAGCCUUACUCUCCAAAAUGAUCUCUUUCUGUGUACUAAUGGAUUGACUGAAGGCUGGCAGCCCCUAGGUAGCUUCAAGAUGGGGGCUGGUCAUCAGAGAGACAUAGGCAGGAUUAGAGGGUUGGGACUUUCAUCCCACCAUCCCACGUACUGGGAGGGAAGGGGGCUAAAGGUUAAGCGGUUCGCCAAUGGCCAGUGAUUUAUUCAAUCAUGCCUACGUAAUGAAGCCUACACAAAAACCCAAGAAGACCGGGUUCAGAGAACUUCUGGUAGCUGGGCACAUGGAGGUUCCUGGAGGGUGCCAAGCCCUGGAAGCUCUGUGCUCCCUCCCACAUGCCUUGCCCUAUGCAUCUCUUCAUUUGUAUCCUUUGUAAUAUCCUUUCUAAUAAACUGGUAAAUGUAAGGAAGUGUUUCUCUGAGUUCUGUGAGCCACUCCAGCAAAUUAAUCAAUCCCAAGGAGGGGGUCAUGGGGUCCCUGACUUAUAGCCAGUUGGUCAGAAGCACAGGUAAACACGUGGGCCUGAGACUGGCAUGGCUAGGGGGUGCAGUCUUGGGGAUCGAGCCCUCCUGCUGUGGGAUCUGAUGCUACCUCCAGGUAGAUAGUGUUGGAACAGAACUGAAUUAGAGGACACCAAGCUAGUGUCUGCUGCAGAACUGAUUGCUGGCUUGGUGGGGUGGAAAUCCCCACACAUGUGGUCACAGGAGUCUUCUGGGUUGAUUGUAGUUGAGUGGGAGAAUGGAAAAAGCACUUCGAGUUUGCGUGUGAGUUUUCUCUUUCCCAUCUCCUGAGCGCUGCCUCUGGGUCCAGGCGUGGCACUGUCGCAAUCUCCCAACAACCCUGAGGCUGCUGCACCCCCAUAAUCCAGAGGGGGAAACUAAGGCUCUGAGGGGUGCCUUGCUCUGGACCUGCGCCCACCUGCCUCCUCUGUCCACCUCUGUCUUCUGCCCCCCGGGUCAGCCAGCGUGGGGCUCUUCCUACCUUGCUGUAGUG
RNAcentral lists this long non-coding RNA (2812 nucleotides) under Homo sapiens (human). Its description in RNAcentral is "HSALNT0241388". Lineage: Eukaryota; Metazoa; Chordata; Mammalia; Primates; Hominidae. The record is from RNAcentral.